RNAcentral lists this ribosomal RNA (466 nucleotides) under uncultured bacterium. Its description in RNAcentral is "partial 16S ribosomal RNA". It matches the Rfam family "Bacterial small subunit ribosomal RNA", at positions 28 to 507 of the family's 1533-position model. The record is from RNAcentral.
GAUGAACGCUGGCGGCGUGCUUAACACAUGCAAGUCGAACGGAAAGGCUCCUGCUUGCCGGGGUACUCGAGUGGCGAACGGGUGAGUAUCACGUGGGUGAUCUGCCCUGCACUUCGGGAUAAGCCUGGGAAACUGGGUCUAAUACCGGAUAGGACGAUGGGUUGGAUGCCGUUGUGGAGAGUUUUUUCGGUGUGGGAUGAGCUCGCGGCCUAUCAGCUUGUUGGUGGGGUAAUGGCCUACCAAGGCGUCGACGGGUAGCCGGCCUGAGAGGGUGUACGGCCACAUUGGGACUGAGAUACGGCCCAGACUCCUACGGGAGGCAGCAGUGGGGAAUAUUGCACAAUGGGCGCAAGCCUGAUGCAGCGACGCCGCGUGGGGGAUGACGGCCUUCGGGUUGUAAACUCCUUUCGCUAGGGACGAAGCGCAAGUGACGGUACCUGGAGAAGAAGCACCGGCUAACUACGUG